AGUUGAAACAUUAAAUCAUUAUUAAAAUACGUGCUUUGUGAUACCUAAUGCUAGUUAAUACAAAUAAUUAUAUAUUACUUAUUGGUCAGUACAGUCUUACCUGAGCAUUUCAUCAGGAUAGAUAUCAAAAAGUAUAGUCAGCAGUCUCUCCCCGAUCGAUACCCUUCCUACCCUCUCUCCUAGCCUCUCAUUCUUUCUCUCCCUCUACUUCCCCGGCUCCCUUUUCCCCAUCUCUUAUCUGAUGCAGAGACACCGAAUAGCUCAGGUAAGCAUGGCAUCUAAAUGAUCAACAUUACUUCAAGAUUAAAGUUACAUAAUUAGUUUUGUCUUUUUUUUUUUUGGAAUGGAAUCUCUAACAACAUGAAGGGUACUGUGCAUACGAUGUAACGUAACAUCAAAGCACAAUUUUUGGUAUCCACCUUCUUUAUCAUUUUCCUAGACAGUUUACUUUAACAUAUUACUUUUGUGAAUGAUUUAGAUGGGGGAAAAAAUGUCCCUUAGUUUUUCUUUUCAAGCCACAGAAUGCACAUUCUCACAUUCGCACUUUUUUACUCUAGGAAAAAGGAAUAGAAUGUCUAUCCAAAGUAUACUUUCAACUUGCAGACAAUCGAUAUCUUUGAAGGAGACUUGAAGUGACAGCACAAAAGUAUCCCUGCUUCCACUGGGCCAAGCUAGGAAUAACGUUUGAAGUCAGUUGAAACUUUACAUUUUUGAAAGGUCUGCCCAGGUGUCAGUAAAUAUGAGAAAUGGGCUCAGAGCUGUGUGUAAAUGUAGGUUGCAUGCAUUUUAAGGCAGUCUUACAGGAACACAUUGAGAGAUCUGGCAUUCUUAAAAUCAAGCAUAUGUCAUAUCAACAUUCCUAGUACAAAGUAUUUUGUUACUGUUUCUGUGCUCUAAAUAGCCCCAUGCAAAGGCACAUCAUUGAACCAAAGCAUAUGGCCGCGGCUACUCAGUUAUGCUGAGCUAUGCUACAGUACCAAUUUGCUACUGCCUUACUCACCUUUUUCUACACAUUUGGCAAUGGAAGUUGCGGCUCAGAGAUCAUACUAUAGAAAAGAAAGAAGUAAAUACAGGAGGGUGGGUGGAUUGCUGCUGUCAUGAAAAAUGGAAGGAAAGGGGACUAGGGCAACCCGAGGUCAGUGGGCCCUACAGCUCCACAGUGUUAUUGUCCGCUCAGAAGAUACAAAAAACAAAACAAAACAAACAAUCAAAAACCCAACCCACCAGCCUUUUCCCUACUUCUCCUUUCUAUGAAUGGGAAUUAUUUUCCUAAGCAUCCUGUUGGUCUCUGUUUCCUUACUUGUUUCGUCCAAGGGGAAGGUGGAACUGCUUAACCUACUGAUAUAUUUGAGAAUAAUUAAGCAGGUCAUACCCACCGGACCCUCUCCCUCUUGGGAUAUGCUUAGCUAGCUAGGUAAAUCUAACUGCGGGACUCAGGGUAAAGGCAACAUUUUAAGUCUCAUUUGACACUGUUUUGUUUCUCAAAUUGCUAACAACCCAAGUGGAAAGGAGGAGUGCUAUGUAUUGGGGCCCACUCAGGGACUCCAGCAGUGAGGAAAUAAUUCUUGGCCUUUAUUCUAGUGUUUGGGACUGUGCUACACCCAACAGGAACACUUGUAAGGAGCAGCCACGUUAUCUAUGGAAAGCCCCCAACAAGGAAGACAGACAGAGCCUGGGGAAUGUAAGCAAAGAAGGGAAACACUGGGCUAAAUGAGGGGCUGAGCACAGAAAGAGUCCUGGUUUUCUGCUUGUUCAGGAAAGAAAACAGCAAGGAAAGCAGGGCUUCCUCACCUCCGUGAUGCCUGUGGUCUGAUCAGAGGUAGAACAUCUGCUGCCUUUGAAGUUCAGGAGAUCAGGAAUGUGUGUUUGUUACUUUAGAACAGUAGUAUGGUAGUUUACUAAACUAUGGGCCAGGAGGGUGUUAUAGGUUGAUUUGAGAAACUUUGAUCUACUCUAACAUUAUAAUAAUAAUAUUUUGCUGCCUUAAAAAAGCAUCUUAACUUUUAACAACUAAUUUGCAAAAAAUAAUUCUCAACUUGAUUAUAAUUGGAGAUUCACUGGAAUUAUAAAAAACAGGUAUAAAGCAGAAAUAGAAACAUUUCAAGUUAAAAGGAAAGAUGACCCUAAAGACAGAGUAGACAGUCUAGCAUUCUUUUUUUUUUUUUUUUUUUUUAAGAUUUUAUUUAUUUAUUUGCCAAAGAGAGAGAGAGAGCACAAGCAGGGGGAGUGGCAAACAGAGAGAGAAGCAGGCUCCCCAAUGAGCAAAGAGCCUUAUGCAGGACUUGAUCUGGGGCCCUGGGAUCAUGACCUGAGCCAAAAGCAGACACUUAACCAACUGAGCCACCCAGGUGUACCGACAGUCUAAGAUUCUUAUUUAACAAUUCAGUGUUAAAGACUGAGCGAUCCUACAUAAACACAUCAUCUAUGAAAGCUAGGUAUUUUUCACUAUAUGUAAAUAUCAAUGGGGGGAGAAUAAAGCCUCUUUUUAUUUUGUUAUUUUGUUAUACUUUGAUUAUACUAAUCUCAAAUUUUCUUUCUUGUUUCUCAUAAUUUGGUCUUUAUUCUCACUUUUUCGCAUGCCUAUCUAAAAUUUUAACUCAUCUAAUUUUACAUUUGGAUUUAAAUUAGGAGCUUACACAAAACAAUAUGAUGCUUUAGAAAAGAUGAAGGUUGUCUAACAAAAUAAAAGGGGGACUGAACUGAAGGAGGAAACUUCAAUCUAUUAAUUAUUCAAAAUAGGUAAAAGAAUUCCAAAGCUUGAUUUGGCAAAUUCAUCAAGGAAAAUUUUCUAGUUCUGCUAUGCUACACUACUGAAUUUUAAAAUCAGCACACAAGGGUGUGUUACUUAAAUUGCACCUAAUAAAAAUGUACAGGAAGUAACAAUUAGCUUCCAACUAUCUCAGGAUCCCAUCUAGUGAAACACUAAAUUGACAUGUGGUUCUUAGCGUAUUAAUGAAUCUGAAACAGGAAUCAAUAAUGUAUCACUCAUUUAAUCAGGUUUAAAGUUGGCUUUAUUCUUGCCAGAAAGACAAUGGGACAUACUGAUGUUGUAAUGGUCCAAAUAUGUAAAAAAGUGAAGAACUGAAGUUGUAAAAAAAGAGAGAGAGAGAGAAGAAGAAGACUUUAACUGAGUUUAGGAGUUAAAUUGCCUCUAACAAUCGAUCUUAAAGUAUAAUGGGAAUAAGUACAUUAAAUCACUUCUGGGUGCAUGAUUUCAUGAUUUGUUUGCAUUGAGUUGUAAGGAUUCCAUACACAAAAUUAGGUAUGAAAAAUUGAAUUUAGAAACACCUACUUAGACUACUGAAUGUUUGCUCCAUUUUUCAGGGAAGUGCAAAAGAUUGUAUCUAACUAUGAAGUUGUGUGAUUCUAUCAAAG
Molecule: long non-coding RNA, 3375 nt
Filed under: Mustela putorius furo (domestic ferret)
Lineage: Eukaryota; Metazoa; Chordata; Mammalia; Carnivora; Mustelidae
Description: lncRNA (ENSMPUG00000030327.1)
Source: RNAcentral